GACGAACGCUGGCGGCGUGCUUAACACAUGCCAGUCGAACGGAAAGGCCCUGCUUUUGUGGGGUGCUCGAGUGGCGAACGGGUGAGUAACACGUGAGUAACCUGCCCUUGACUUUGGGAUAACUUCAGGAAACUGGGGCUAAUACCGGAUAGGAGCUCCUGCUGCAUGGUGGGGGUUGGAAAGUUUCGGCGGUUGGGGAUGGACUCGCGGCUUAUCAGCUUGUUGGUGGGGUAGUGGCUUACCAAGGCUUUGACGGGUAGCCGGCCUGAGAGGGUGACCGGCCACAUUGGGACUGAGAUACGGCCCAGACUCCUACGGGAGGCAGCAGUGGGGAAUAUUGCACAAUGGGCGGAAGCCUGAUGCAGCAACGCCGCGUGCGGGAUGACGGCCUUCGGGUUGUAAACCGCUUUCGCCUGUGACGAAGCGUGAGUGACGGUAAUGGGUAAAGAAGCACCGGCUAACUACGU
Molecule: ribosomal RNA, 467 nt
Filed under: uncultured bacterium
Lineage: Bacteria
Description: partial 16S ribosomal RNA
Rfam family: Bacterial small subunit ribosomal RNA
Source: RNAcentral